AGCUCCAAUAGCGUAUAUUAAAGUUGCUGCAGUUAAAAAGCUCGUAGUUGCAUUUCCGAGGCAAGGGAUUAGUCCGACCUUUGGUGGGUAUUUAAUCCUCUUGCCUCGUCCUUGAGUGGUGCUUCUUGGUAUUAAGUUAUCGAGGAGAUAGCCGCUCAUCGUUUACUGUGAGAAAAUUAGAGUGUUCAAAGCAGGCUUAUGCCGUUGAAUAUAUUAGCAUGGAAUAAUAAGAUAGGACCUCGGUACUAUUGUGUUGGUUUGAGAACCAAGGUAAUGAUGAAUAGGGACAGUUGGGGGUAUUCGUAUUCAGUUGUCAGAGGUGAAAUUCUUAGAUUUACGGAAGACGAACUACUGCGAAAGCAUUGACCAAGGAUGUUUUCA
This 381-nucleotide ribosomal RNA is filed under the name uncultured marine Chaetocerotaceae. RNAcentral's name for it is "SSU rRNA". It matches the Rfam family "Eukaryotic small subunit ribosomal RNA", at positions 587 to 972 of the family's 1831-position model. Lineage: Eukaryota; Bacillariophyta; Thalassiosirophyceae; Chaetocerotales; Chaetocerotaceae. The record is from RNAcentral.